This 481-nucleotide ribosomal RNA is filed under the name Buchholzia fallax. RNAcentral's name for it is "partial 16S ribosomal RNA". It matches the Rfam family "Bacterial large subunit ribosomal RNA", at positions 1819 to 2596 of the family's 2925-position model. The record is from RNAcentral. Lineage: Eukaryota; Metazoa; Annelida; Clitellata; Enchytraeida; Enchytraeidae.
UGCUUUAUGAAUCCCCAUAUAAAGUAAUCUCCUGCCCAGUGAUUUAAAAUUUAACGGCCGCGGUAUCCUAACCGUGCAAAGGUAGCAUAAUAAUUUGCCUAUUAAUUGUAGGCUAGAAUGAACGGGGUAACGAAAUAGAUACUGUCUCUUAUAAGCCUAAUAUAAACUUAUAUUUAAGUGAAGAAGCUUAAAUAAAAUUAAAGGACAAGAAGACCCUAUAGAGCUUUAGUUUUAAAAUUUACCAAACUUUUACAAACUUCGGUUGGGGCAACCCAGGAUUUAAUCAUCCUAUCUUAUAUAAGAUAUACUUAUCAAAUAUUUUGAUCUUUUUAAACUCAAAGGAAAAGCUACCUUAGGGAUAACAGGCUAAUCUCACUACAGAGUUCUUAUCAACAGUGAGGAUUGGCACCUCGAUGUUGGCUUAGAAAAUCUAUGUGGCGCAACAGUCACAUAAAGAAAGUUUGUUCAACUUUUAAUAUUC